This 1002-nucleotide long non-coding RNA is filed under the name Strigops habroptila (Kakapo). Its description in RNAcentral is "lncRNA (ENSSHBG00005004027.1)". The record is from RNAcentral. Lineage: Eukaryota; Metazoa; Chordata; Aves; Psittaciformes; Psittacidae.
CCCAUCCUGUCCCCUCCCAUCCUGAGCAGAAAGGGUUGAGGCUGGAUGAGACAUGGCACAGAGCUCUGAGUGCCCAGGGCUUUCCAGGGACCCCCAAGUGCUCCACAGUGUUACCUCCUCUGUGCCCUCCACCCCAGCCAGUGACCAGCACAGCUCCCCAGGUUACAGGUCCUGCAGGACGGGAACUCUGCUGCUCUCCAUGCACACCACACGACACAACAUGACCCUGUUGUUGGUUGCAACAGCUGCAGCAACACAAUUAAAAGUGAUGACAGCAUUUGCACCACCGGCUGUCACUGCCCAGAGACGUUUCCCUAUAGUGUGGGCUGACAGACUCAGUCACAGAAUUGCUUAGGAAUCUCAUCUGCAGCUUGCAUGCUUGGCAAGGCAAACCCUCUGCCAGGCUGCUGUAUGAUGCCAUUAAAGGUCUUUAGGACACAGCCAUCCUCCUACUUCUUGGGGGUCUCUACCCUGCUCCUCUCAAUCCCCCAUCAGACUUGGAUCUUUCCUGGCUGAGCUGGGGCUCUCCCCCUUGACUUUGUAUCUGCUGAAGUUCCUGUGAGGAUCUGAGUACUGAAAUCACCAUUCCUUUCCCUGGCUCUGGAAAAUAUGUAAGUUUAUUUUCUUCAAUGAAGAACUGUCGGUGAGGAGAGGUUUACAUCAAACCUGCAAGGAAAACACUGUCAUUUUUCUCUUCAUGCUUUGUCUGCCUCGCAGUUUGAGUUUUGCUCUCUAUUGUACUGGAAAACUACCCUCGCUCUUGCCAGCAUGACCUCAAUCAUCAUUGGAGCGUAGAACUAAUGCCUCUCAUGUUGUGUAGAUGCACAUCAGAAGUGCGCCAGGUCCUCAUUCCCUCUGCGCUACAAGCUUGUAUUCAGGCCUCUCCUCCUUUGAGCAGACGGACACCAGUCCUCAUGUCUGUAGCUGGGCACAUCGGGGAGAUGCAUCAAAAAUCUCCUCUCCUCAGGUCUGGCUGCAGAUCACCUUCCGGUCACUCCAGCA